Molecule: long non-coding RNA, 672 nt
Filed under: Nicotiana benthamiana
Lineage: Eukaryota; Viridiplantae; Streptophyta; Magnoliopsida; Solanales; Solanaceae
Description: long non-coding RNA (NBEN_LNC012160)
Source: RNAcentral
CAAAAAAAUCAAAAACAAGUUUGAGUAAUAAAAGUUUCUCUUCUCCAAAAUCUUUCUACUCUUCCAAAAUUCCCUUAGCCUAAAAGCCUCCAUCCAAAUAUUAAUAGCAAUCCUCUUCCAACAAAGUGGCAUCAGAGCCACAAGAUUCUAACAAAAAAAAAAUUUCUAAGAUCAUAGCAAAUGGUGUUGCAUCCUUCCAAGUUCCUAUGCUCAACAAGAGCAACUAUGAUAAUUGGAGUAUCAAGUGAAGGCUCUCCUAGGUGCAUAUGAUUUUUGAGAUAUUGUAGAGAAAGGCUACAAUGAGCCCCAAGAUGAAUCUACAUUAUCCCAAACUCAAAAGGAUGGUUUGAAGGAUUCAAGAAAGAGAGACAAGAAAGCUCUCUACCUCAUCUACACAUGAUGUUUGGGAUAUUGUAGAGAAAGGCUACAAUAAGCCCCGAGAUGAAUCUACAUUAUCCCAAACUCAAAAGGAUGUUUUGAAGGAUUCAAGAAAGAGAGACAAGAAAGCUCUCUACCUCAUCUACCAAGCAUUGGAUGAUGAUGGGUUCGAGAAGAUCUCAAGUGCAACCACUGGUAAGGAAGCAUGGGAGAAACUCCAAACGUCUUGCAAAGGUGUCGAGCAAGUAAAGAAUGUAAACAUUAAGAGGAGAAUUUGAGUCUUUACAUAUGAAA